Molecule: long non-coding RNA, 277 nt
Organism: Arachis duranensis
Lineage: Eukaryota; Viridiplantae; Streptophyta; Magnoliopsida; Fabales; Fabaceae
Exons: 3
Source: RefSeq, a predicted model, not a curated record
UAAUAAUGGAGAAAAGAUAAAAAAAAAAAAGAAAUGAUGGAGCUCAGUCAAGAAACAUUGCUCCGGAUCAGUUUGACUCUCCACAGGGACAAAAUGAUUUCUCUUAGACGGUGCCAACUGUAAAUAUUGAUAGUGAGCAAGUCUUACAGACACAAGGAAGCUUUACACCUUCUGUAGAUGCUGCAAGCAAUAUCAGAAAAAAUACACCGGAGAGCCCGAUCAAAUAUUAUAGAAAAAAGAUAAUCUUCUCAAGAAAGACGUCUAAAACUCCACGAGU